GCAAUACGGAGCGGCAGACGGGAGAGUAACACGUGGGAACGUGCCCUUCAGUUCGGAACAACCCAGGGAAACUUGGGCUAAUACCGGAUACGUCCGUAAGGAGAAAGAUUUAUCGCUGAAGGAUCGGCCCGCGUCUGAUUAGCUAGUUGGUGAGGUAACGGCUCACCAAGGCGACGAUCAGUAGCUGGUCUGAGAGGAUGAUCAGCCUCACUGGGACUGAGACACGGCCCAGACUCCUACGGGAGGCAGCAGUGGGGAAUAUUGGACAAUGGGCGCAAGCCUGAUCCAGCCAUGCCGCGUGGGUGAUGAAGGCCCUAGGG
Molecule: ribosomal RNA, 320 nt
Filed under: uncultured bacterium
Lineage: Bacteria
Description: bacterial SSU rRNA
Rfam family: Bacterial small subunit ribosomal RNA
Source: RNAcentral